CUGCAGUCAGUUAAGCCGACUGGGCGCCUUGGCUAGUGGGUGCCCAGUGUGCAAUGGCUGCAGACAGCAACCUCCUUGGUAGUGUACGCAGCCUGUUGCUGGUAUGGGCUGCCCCAAGGGACCUUGGAGACAUUG
This is a small nucleolar RNA of Cavia aperea (Brazilian guinea pig), 135 nucleotides long. Its record names the gene SNORA70. It matches the Rfam family "Small nucleolar RNA SNORA70". From Rfam's summary of the family: snoRNA U70 seems to be exclusive to mammals and is a member of the H/ACA class of snoRNA which contain H (ANANNA) and ACA box motifs. H/ACA box snoRNAs are involved in the conversion of uridines to pseudouridines (5-ribosyluracil) a constituent of structural RNAs (transfer, ribosomal, small nuclear, and small nucleolar). The record is from Ensembl. Lineage: Eukaryota; Metazoa; Chordata; Mammalia; Rodentia; Caviidae.